RNAcentral lists this ribosomal RNA (466 nucleotides) under Bacillus subtilis. RNAcentral's name for it is "bacterial SSU rRNA". It matches the Rfam family "Bacterial small subunit ribosomal RNA", at positions 82 to 533 of the family's 1533-position model. The record is from RNAcentral. Lineage: Bacteria; Bacillati; Bacillota; Bacilli; Caryophanales; Bacillaceae.
CUCCCUGAUGUUAGCGGCGGACGGGUGAGUAACACGUGGGUAACCUGCCUGUAAGACUGGGAUAACUCCGGGAAACCGGGGCUAAUACCGGAUGGUUGUUUGAACCGCAUGGUUCAAACAUAAAAGGUGGCUUCGGCUACCACUUACAGAUGGACCCGCGGCGCAUUAGCUAGUUGGUGAGGUAACGGCUCACCAAGGCGACGAUGCGUAGCCGACCUGAGAGGGUGAUCGGCCACACUGGGACUGAGACACGGCCCAGACUCCUACGGGAGGCAGCAGUAGGGAAUCUUCCGCAAUGGACGAAAGUCUGACGGAGCAACGCCGCGUGAGUGAUGAAGGUUUUCGGAUCGUAAAGCUCUGUUGUUAGGGAAGAACAAGUACCGUUCGAAUAGGGCGGUACCUUGACGGUACCUAACCAGAAAGCCACGGCUAACUACGUGCCAGCAGCCGCGGUAAUACGUAGGUG